Molecule: ribosomal RNA, 492 nt
Filed under: uncultured bacterium
Lineage: Bacteria
Description: partial 16S ribosomal RNA
Rfam family: Bacterial small subunit ribosomal RNA
Source: RNAcentral
AGUGAACGCUGGCGGUAGGCCUAACACAUGCAAGUCGAACGGCAGCACAGUAAGAGCUUGCUCUUACGGGUGGCGAGUGGCGGACGGGUGAGGAAUACAUCGGAAUCUACUUUUUCGUGGGGGAUAACGUAGGGAAACUUACGCUAAUACCGCAUACGACCUACGGGUGAAAGCAGGGGAUCUUCGGACCUUGCGCGAUUGAAUGAGCCGAUGUCGGAUUAGCUAGUUGGCGGGGUAAAGGCCCACCAAGGCGAGGAUCCGUAGCUGGUCUGAGAGGAUGAUCAGCCACACUGGAACUGAGACACGGUCCAGACUCCUACGGGAGGCAGCAGUGGGGAAUAUUGGACAAUGGGCGCAAGCCUGAUCCAGCCAUACCGCGUGGGUGAAGAAGGCCUUCGGGUUGUAAAGCCCUUUUGUUGGGAAAGAAAAGCAGCAGGUUAAUACCCCGCUGUUCUGACGGUACCCAAAGAAUAAGCACCGGCUAACUUCGUG